GACGAACGCUGGCGGCGUGCUUAACACAUGCAAGUCGAACGGAAAGGCCCUGCUUUUGUGGGGUGCUCGAGUGGCGAACGGGUGAGUAACACGUGAGUAACCUGCCCUUGACUUUGGGAUAAAUUCAGGAAACUGGGGCUAAUACCGGAUAGGAGCUCCUGCUGCAUGGUGGGGGUUGGAAAGUUUCGGCGGUUGGGGAUGGACUCGCGGCUUAUCAGCUUGUUGGUGGGGUAGUGGCUUACCAAGGCUUUGACGGGUAGCCGGCCUGAGAGGGUGACCGGCCACAUUGGGACUGAGGUACGGCCCAGACUCCUACGGGCGGCAGCAGUGGGGAAUAUUGCGCAAUGGGCGGAAGCCUGAUGCAGCAACGCCGCGUGCGGGAUGACGGCCUUCGGGUUGUAAACCGCUUUCGCCUGUGACGAAGCGUGAGUGACGGUAAUGGGUAAAGAAGCACCGGCUAACUACGUG
Molecule: ribosomal RNA, 468 nt
Filed under: uncultured bacterium
Lineage: Bacteria
Description: partial 16S ribosomal RNA
Rfam family: Bacterial small subunit ribosomal RNA
Source: RNAcentral